RNAcentral lists this transfer RNA (77 nucleotides) under Escherichia coli T1840_97. RNAcentral's name for it is "tRNA-Pro". It matches the Rfam family "tRNA". From Rfam's summary of the family: Transfer RNA (tRNA) molecules are approximately 80 nucleotides in length. Their secondary structure includes four short double-helical elements and three loops (D, anti-codon, and T loops). Lineage: Bacteria; Pseudomonadati; Pseudomonadota; Gammaproteobacteria; Enterobacterales; Enterobacteriaceae. The record is from RNAcentral.
GUGGCUAUAGCUCAGCUUGGUAGCGCAACUGGUUUGGGACCAGUGGGUCGGAGGUUCGAAUCCCAUUAGCCACCCCA